GACCGCGUAUGAAAGUACGUUUCACCCUCGGGUGACAGGGAGACAGGUGGUGCAUGGUUGUCGUCAGCUCGUGUCGUGAGAUGUUGGGUUAAGUCCCGCAACGAGCGCAACCCCUACGUUUAGUUGCUAACGCGUGAAGGCGAGCACUCUAGACGAACUGCCGUUGACAAAACGGAGGAAGAUGGGAUGACGUCAAAUCAUCAUGCCCCUUAUGUUCUGGGCUACACACGUGCUACAAUGGCCGGUACAGACGGACGCAAAGCCGCGAGGUGGAGCAAAUCCUAAAAAGCCGGUCUCAGUUCGGAUUGCAGGCUGCAAUUCGCCUGCAUGAAGUCGGAAUCGCUAGUAAUCGCAGGUCAGCAUACUGCGGUGAAUACGUUCCCGGGCCUU
RNAcentral lists this ribosomal RNA (390 nucleotides) under uncultured Pelotomaculum sp. RNAcentral's name for it is "bacterial SSU rRNA". It matches the Rfam family "Bacterial small subunit ribosomal RNA", at positions 993 to 1382 of the family's 1533-position model. The record is from RNAcentral. Lineage: Bacteria; Bacillati; Bacillota; Clostridia; Eubacteriales; Desulfotomaculaceae.